GGGCGCAAGCCUGANUCCAGNCAUACCGCGGUGAGUAAAGAAGGCCCUAGGGUUGUAAAGCUCUUUCACACCCGAAGAUAAUGACGGUAACCGUAGGAAGAAGCCCCGGCUAACUUGGNGCCAGCAGCCGCGGUAAUACGAAGGNGGGCUAGCGUUGUUCGGAUUUACUGGGCGUAAAGCGCACGUAGGCGGAUCGUUAAGUGAGGGGUGAAAUCCCAGGGCUCAACCCUGGAACUGCCUCUCAUACUGGCGAUCUUGAGUUCGAGAGAGGUGAGUGGAAUUCCGAGUGUAGAGGUGAAAUUCGUAGAUAUUCGGAGGAACACCAGUGGCGAAGGCGGCUCACUGGCUCGAUACUGACGCUGAGGUGCGAAAGC
This 374-nucleotide ribosomal RNA is filed under the name uncultured bacterium. RNAcentral's name for it is "bacterial SSU rRNA". It matches the Rfam family "Bacterial small subunit ribosomal RNA", at positions 373 to 760 of the family's 1533-position model. The record is from RNAcentral.